Molecule: ribosomal RNA, 719 nt
Filed under: uncultured Cortinarius
Lineage: Eukaryota; Fungi; Basidiomycota; Agaricomycetes; Agaricales; Cortinariaceae
Description: eukaryotic LSU rRNA
Rfam family: Eukaryotic large subunit ribosomal RNA (bases 176-719)
Source: RNAcentral
GGGGGGGGUUUUUUUUUUGCUGGCCUUUAUUGAAGGUCAGCUCCCCUGAAAUAUAUUAGCGGAACAAUCUGUUGACUGUUCAUUAGUAUGAUAAAUUAUCUGUGCUAUUGAACUGCAAGGACAAGCUCUGCUUCUAAGAGUCCAUUGACUUGGACAAUAUUUGUUUCAUUCAAUGUGACCUCAAAUCAGGUAGGACUACCCGCUGAACUUAAGCAUAUCAAUAAGCGGAGGAAAAGAAACUAACAAGGAUUCCCCUAGUAACUGCGAGUGAAGUGGGAAAAGCUCAAAUUUAAAAUCUGUCAGUCUUUGACUGUCCGAGUUGUAAUCUAGAGAAGUGUUAUCUGUGCUGGACCAUGUAUAAGUCUCCUGGAAUGGAGCCUCAUAGAGGGUGAGAAUCCCGUCUUUGACAUGGACUACCAGGACUUUGUGAUACACUCUCAAAGAGUCGAGUUGUUUGGGAAUGCAGCUCAAAAUGGGUGGUAAAUUCCAUCUAAAGCUAAAUAUUGGCGAGAGACCGAUAGUGAACAAGUACCGUGAGGGAAAGAUGAAAAGAACUUUGGAAAGAGAGUUAAACAGUACGUGAAAUUGCUGAAAGGGAAACGCUUGAAGUCAGUCACAUUGGCCAGGGAUCAACCUUGCUUUUGCUUGGUGUACUUUCUGGUUGAUGGGUCAGUAUCAAUUUUGACUAUUGGAAAAGGAUCAGGGGAAUGUGGCAUCUU